This 103-nucleotide microRNA precursor is filed under the name Medicago truncatula (barrel medic). Its description in RNAcentral is "miR5283 stem-loop (mtr-MIR5283)". The record is from miRBase by way of RNAcentral. Lineage: Eukaryota; Viridiplantae; Streptophyta; Magnoliopsida; Fabales; Fabaceae.
GUAUCCGUGCGUAUCGGGAUGUAUCGGAAAGUAUCAGAUUAUUAUUUUUUUUUAAAAUAAAAUUUAAUAUUUGGAUACUCCCCGGAUACAUAUCGGGAAGUAU